UAAAGGGUGCGUAGGCGGUUUAUUAAGUCAGUGGUGAAAGACGGUCGCUCAACGAUUGCAGUGCCAUUGAUACUGGUAGACUUGAGUGGGAUUGAGGUAGCUGGAAUGGAUAGUGUAGCGGUGAAAUGCAUAGAUAUUAUCCAGAACACCAAUUGCGUAGGCAAGUUACUAAGUCUCAACUGACGCUGAGGCACGAAAGUGUGGGUAUCAAACAGGAUUAGAACCCGAGU
Molecule: ribosomal RNA, 230 nt
Filed under: uncultured bacterium
Lineage: Bacteria
Description: partial 16S ribosomal RNA
Rfam family: Bacterial small subunit ribosomal RNA
Source: RNAcentral